Molecule: ribosomal RNA, 182 nt
Filed under: Clostridium botulinum
Lineage: Bacteria; Bacillati; Bacillota; Clostridia; Eubacteriales; Clostridiaceae
Description: partial 16S ribosomal RNA
Rfam family: Bacterial small subunit ribosomal RNA
Source: RNAcentral
UUUAAAUUUAGAGUUUGAUCCUGGCUCAGGACGAACGCUGGCGGCGUGCUUAACACAUGCAAGUCGAGCGAUGAAACUUCCUUCGGGAAGUGGAUUAGCGGCGGACGGGUGAGUAACACGUGGGUAACCUGCCUCAAAGUGGGGGAUAGCCUUCCGAAAGGAAGAUUAAUACCGCAUAAUAU